GUGAAUCAUCAAAUUUUUGAACGCAAAUUGCACUCUCGUCGGAGAGUAUGCCUGUUUGAGGUUCAGCCUAAAAAAAAUCGACAUAGUUGCUGUUUCGCGGUGGCGGUCGUCGGAAAUUGAAUUAUCUUAAAUCUUUGGCUUAAGCGACUUAAAAUUUUCUUUACGAUUCCAUGAACGAUUCAAAGAUUUAUGUAUUUACACGUUCAAG
This 208-nucleotide unclassified non-coding RNA is filed under the name Glomus sp. RNAcentral's name for it is "partial contains 5.8S ribosomal RNA and internal transcribed spacer 2". The stretch from base 1 to 65 matches the Rfam family "5.8S ribosomal RNA", at positions 84 to 154 of the family's 154-position model. Lineage: Eukaryota; Fungi; Glomeromycota; Glomeromycetes; Glomerales; Glomeraceae. The record is from RNAcentral.